Molecule: small nucleolar RNA, 134 nt
Organism: Choloepus hoffmanni (Hoffmann's two-fingered sloth)
Lineage: Eukaryota; Metazoa; Chordata; Mammalia; Pilosa; Megalonychidae
Gene: SNORA70
Rfam family: Small nucleolar RNA SNORA70
About the family: snoRNA U70 seems to be exclusive to mammals and is a member of the H/ACA class of snoRNA which contain H (ANANNA) and ACA box motifs. H/ACA box snoRNAs are involved in the conversion of uridines to pseudouridines (5-ribosyluracil) a constituent of structural RNAs (transfer, ribosomal, small nuclear, and small nucleolar).
Source: Ensembl
CUGCAGCCAGUUAAGGUGACCACCCCUUCUCCCCAUGGGGUCCCAGCGUGUAGUGGUUGCAGACAGCAGCCUCCUUGGUAGUUAAUGGAGCCUGUUGCUUGUACAGGUUGCCCUAAGGAACCUUGCAAAGAGUA